This 532-nucleotide ribosomal RNA is filed under the name uncultured bacterium. RNAcentral describes it as "partial 16S ribosomal RNA". It matches the Rfam family "Bacterial small subunit ribosomal RNA", at positions 354 to 874 of the family's 1533-position model. The record is from RNAcentral.
UGGGGGAAUAUUGGACAAUGGGGCGCAAGCCUGAUCCAGCAAUGCCGCGUGUGUGAAGAAGGCCUUCGGGUUGUAAAGCACUUUUAUCAGGAGCGAAACGCUGUCGGCUAAUACCCGGCGGAACUGACGGUACCUGAGGAAUAAGCACCGGCUAACUUCGUGCCAGCAGCCGCGGUAAUACGAAGGGUGCAAGCGUUAAUCGGAAUUACUGGGCGUAAAGCGUGCGUAGGCGGUUUCUUAAGUCUGCUGUGAAAUCCCCGGGCUCAACCUGGGAAUGGCAGUGGAUACUGGGAGGCUAGAGUGUGUCAGAGGGUGGUGGAAUUCCCGGUGUAGCGGUGAAAUGCGUAGAGAUCGGGAGGAACAUCAGUGGCGAAGGCGGCCACCUGGGACAACACUGACGCUGAGGCACGAAAGCGUGGGGAGCAAACAGGAUUAGAUACCCUGGUAGUCCACGCCCUAAAAGCGAUGCGAACUGGAUGUUGGUCUCAACUCGGAGAUCAGUGUCGAAGCUAACGCGUUAAGUUCGCUGCCU